Molecule: ribosomal RNA, 744 nt
Filed under: uncultured bacterium
Lineage: Bacteria
Description: bacterial SSU rRNA
Rfam family: Bacterial small subunit ribosomal RNA
Source: RNAcentral
AGAGUUUGAUCAUGGCUCAGAGCGAACGCUGGCGGCAGGCUUAACACAUGCAAGUCGAGCGGGCGUAGCAAUACGUCAGCGGCAGACGGGUGAGUAACGCGUGGGAACGUACCUUUUGGUUCGGAACAACACAGGGAAACUUGUGCUAAUACCGGAUAAGCCCUUACGGGGAAAGAUUUAUCGCCGAAAGAUCGGCCCGCGUCUGAUUAGCUAGUUGGUGUGGUAACGGCGCACCAAGGCGACGAUCAGUAGCUGGUCUGAGAGGAUGAUCAGCCACAUUGGGACUGAGACACGGCCCAAACUCCUACGGGAGGCAGCAGUGGGGAAUAUUGGACAAUGGGCGCAAGCCUGAUCCAGCCAUGCCGCGUGAGUGAUGAAGGCCCUAGGGUUGUAAAGCUCUUUUGUGCGGGAAGAUAAUGACGGUACCGCAAGAAUAAGCCCCGGCUAACUUCGUGCCAGCAGCCGCGGUAAUACGAAGGGGGCUAGCGUUGCUCGGAAUCACUGGGCGUAAAGGGUGCGUAGGCGGGUCUUUAAGUCAGGGGUGAAAUCCUGGAGCUCAACUCCAGAACUGCCUUUGAUACUGAGGAUCUUGAGUUCGGGAGAGGUGAGUGGAACUGCGAGUGUAGAGGUGAAAUUCGUAGAUAUUCGCAAGAACACCAGUGGCGAAGGCGGCUCACUGGCCCGAUACUGACGCUGAGGCACGAAAGCGUGGGGAGCAAACAGGAUUAGAUACCCCGGUAGUCC